CGAAGUGGCGACGUAGUGCUAGAGGGGGUCGCCGAAGGUUCAAGAUGGCGAUGUCGGUGGUUGUAAGCGAUGCGACCGACUAGAAAGGUUUUGGUAUCAAGUUGGAAGAGGGAAUGAGACAAAAAAAAAUGGUCGAUCGGAGCUCUGUUGACUGGAGUAGGGUUGCCAAAGAUCGGGGAGGCACCGGCAAUAAAGAGGGGGAGGUGGGUGGCGGCUGGGGUGAGGAGAGAAAGAGGAGUAGAAAGGUGUUAUAAACCCUAAGUUUCAGAUUUUAACAUAAUGUAAGAAUUAUGGUU
RNAcentral lists this long non-coding RNA (296 nucleotides) under Ananas comosus (pineapple). Its description in RNAcentral is "long non-coding RNA (ACOM_LNC007074)". The record is from RNAcentral. Lineage: Eukaryota; Viridiplantae; Streptophyta; Magnoliopsida; Poales; Bromeliaceae.